This 638-nucleotide ribosomal RNA is filed under the name uncultured bacterium. RNAcentral describes it as "bacterial SSU rRNA". It matches the Rfam family "Bacterial small subunit ribosomal RNA", at positions 607 to 1244 of the family's 1533-position model. The record is from RNAcentral.
GCUUAACCGUAGAAGUGCAUCGGAAACUGGGAGACUUGAGUGCAGAAGAGGACAGUGGAACUCCAUGUGUAGCGGUGGAAUGCGUAGAUAUAUGGAAGAACACCAGUGGCGAAGGCGGCUGUCUAGUCUGUAACUGACGCUGAGGCUCGAAAGCAUGGGUAGCGAACAGGAUUAGAUACCCUGGUAGUCCAUGCCGUAAACGAUGAGUGCUAAGUGUUGGAGGGUUUCCGCCCUUCAGUGCUGCAGCUAACGCAUUAAGCACUCCGCCUGGGGAGUACGACCGCAAGGUUGAAACUCAAAGGAAUUGACGGGGGCCCGCACAAGCGGUGGAGCAUGUGGUUUAAUUCGAAGCUACGCGAAGAACCUUACCAGGUCUUGACAUCUUCUGCCAAUCUUAGAGAUAAGACGUUCCCUUCGGGGACAGAAUGACAGGUGGUGCAUGGUUGUCGUCAGCUCGUGUCGUGAGAUGUUGGGUUAAGUCCCGCAACGAGCGCAACCCUUAUUAUCAGUUGCCAGCAUUCAGUUGGGCACUCUGGUGAGACUGCCGGUGACAAACCGGAGGAAGGUGGGGAUGACGUCAAAUCAUCAUGCCCCUUAUGACCUGGGGCUACACACGUGCUACAAUGGACGGUACAACG